CCCUCACCCAGCUGCUGCGGCGGAGAGACGGAGGCCAGCGCGGGGAGCGGAAGCCGGAGCCUGUCGGGAGCGACCCCGGGAAGGCCAGUCCCUCCUGCCGGAGGGAGGCGUGUUGGCGUGCGGCCGGUGGCGGGAUCGAUGGCCACCUGGUAGGCGAUGCUGCUGCGGCGGAGAGACGGAGGCCAGCGCGGGGAGCGGAAGCCGGAGCCUGUCGGGAGCGACCCCGGAAGGCCAGUCCCUCCUGCCGGAGGGAGGCGUGUUGGCGUGCGGCCGGUGGCGGGAUCGAUGGCCACCUGGUAGGCGAUGCUGCUGCGGCGGAGAGACGGAGGCCAGCGCGGGGAGCGGAAGCCGGAGCCUGUCGGGAGCGACCCGGGAAGGCCAGUCCCUCCUGCCGGGGAGGCGUGUUGGCGUGCGGCCGGUGGCGGGAUCGAUGGCCAC
Molecule: long non-coding RNA, 438 nt
Filed under: Sus scrofa (pig)
Lineage: Eukaryota; Metazoa; Chordata; Mammalia; Artiodactyla; Suidae
Description: lncRNA (ENSSSCG00070006275.1)
Source: RNAcentral